This 208-nucleotide ribosomal RNA is filed under the name uncultured bacterium. RNAcentral describes it as "partial 16S ribosomal RNA". It matches the Rfam family "Bacterial small subunit ribosomal RNA", at positions 568 to 774 of the family's 1533-position model. The record is from RNAcentral.
CUCGUAGGCGGUUUGUCACGUCGUCUGUGAAAUCCUAGGGCUUAACCCUGGACGUGCAGGCGAUACGGGCUGACUUGAGUACUACAGGGGAGACUGGAAUUUCUGGUGUAGCGGUGGAAUGCACAGAUAUCAGGAAGAACACCGAUGGCGAAGGCAGGUCUCUGGGUAGUAACUGACGCUGAGGAGCGAAAGCAUGGGGUAGCGAACA